Molecule: ribosomal RNA, 512 nt
Filed under: uncultured bacterium
Lineage: Bacteria
Description: bacterial SSU rRNA
Rfam family: Bacterial small subunit ribosomal RNA
Source: RNAcentral
AGAGUUGAUCAUGGCUCAGGAUGAACGCUGGCGGCGUGCCUAAUACAUGCAAGUCGUGCGAGGUAGCUUGCUACCUAGCGGCGAACGGGUGAGUAACACGUAGGUAACCUGCCCUUAGACUGGGAUACCCGAGGGAAACCUUGGCUAAUACCGGAUAACAACAGAGAAGGCAUCUCCUCUGUUUGAAAGCUGCGUUUGCAGCACUAUUGGAUGGACCUGCGGCACAUUAGCUAGUUGGUGAGAUAACAGCCCACCAAGGCGAGGAUGUGUAGCCGACCUGAGAGGGUGAACGGCCACAAUGGGACUGAGACACGGCCCAUACUCCUACGGGAGGCAGCAGUAGGGAAUUUUCGGCAAUGGGCGAAAGCCUGACCGAGCAACGCCGCGUGAGUGAGGAAGUUCUUCGGAACGUAAAGCUCUGUUGUUCCUGACGAACCUCCCUUCUAUCAACAACGGAAGGGACUGACGGUAGGGAACGAGGAAGCCACGGCUAACUACGUGCCAGCCGCGGC